CUAGACAAUUAAAUCUUGUAGAAGACUAUUGGAGUUCAUUCGUCCGAAGAGAGCUUUUUGGUGAGUCUACAAAGAUUGAAUAAGAAGAAAGUAUUCCUCACAGACUAAGUUCUAUUUUUCACUCCACAUGCAGAAAUUUACUUGACUAAUUCACUGAAAUAAUUAAAGCAUAUUUAUUUAAUUCAACAAGUAUCACUUAUCGCUUACGUUUAUAACCUCAAUUCAGACUUGUCCUUGACGCGUUUGUUUACAUUUGUGAUUCAAGAUUUCACCAACAGAUCGCUGCACUUGUUGCGUGUUUUUUCUAAAUAGUAAUGACGUCAUCGAUCCAUGAGUCACCAGCGGUUUUCCAGUGACGUGUGUGCGUCUGGUCUGGUCUCUCUUAUCAGUUCAGUUCGUGAGUGUUCGUGAGUUGCGAAGUGUGUGCGAAUUGACUUAUCUCAGUGAUCCGUUGCAUACGAGUUGAAACAAUAGAGAUAAGGUAAUGACAACGAUUUAAUUUUAAUUUUCGACAAUAUUUAUCGUGAAACGACACGAUUUUUUUCUGCCACCCAUUCGCUACCUCCAGAAAUUGGUGCGUUGUCGUUUUGUUUACUCGCGUCUUUUUCAAGCGUGGUGCUUGCUUGCGUUUUGGUGAUAAUUGUGAAUUGUGAUUUUCCCUCUCACUGCUGAAGUUCUCUCAAGCAGUCACAUUUGAAUCCGUUCUUACAGCCUUAGUAGACCGUUUUCUAAGAUUCUAUCAACUCUUUUCAGUGUUAUGUUGUGCCUCAGUGAAACCAAAAUUGGAUACACACACUAAGUAGCAGACCCGGAAUAGCGUUGUGUAGAUAAUCGAUGAUUGUCACUUAGAAGAUAAACCUCGAAGAUCAAAAUGACGGCAAACGGGAUGACCGAACAAAUCGUGAUGACGCCGAAAGGCAAGACGGCCAACUCGACGACGCUGAUGAUUGAGAGGAAACCGGUCGUCAUCAAGGAAGCCGCCAACGACAAGUUCACGUCGGAGGAGGCGAUCACCAGGGAAUCGUCAUCAACAAAGUCAUCACCGAAGGUAACCUAAUCAGCCAGAUUCACAAGCAUGAAAUUCGACGAGGUAUUGCGAGAUGAACGCUGUUUUUC
This 1116-nucleotide long non-coding RNA is filed under the name Bemisia tabaci. Its description in RNAcentral is "lncRNA ENSSSA1NGG000789". Lineage: Eukaryota; Metazoa; Arthropoda; Insecta; Hemiptera; Aleyrodidae. The record is from RNAcentral.